UACGUAGGGUGCGAGCGUUGUCCGGAGUUAUUGGGCGUAAAGCGCGCGUAGGCGGCGUGGUGCGUCGCACGUGAAAGCCCGCGGCUCAACCGCGGAGGGUCGUGCGAGACGGCCGCGCUGGAGGCAGGGAGAGGCUGGUGGAAUUCCCGGAGUAGUGGUGAAAUGCGUAGAGAUCGGGAGGAACACCGGUGGCGCAGGCGGCCAGCUGGAGCUGACCUGACGCUGAGGCGCGACGGCGUGGGGAGCGAACGGG
This 253-nucleotide ribosomal RNA is filed under the name uncultured bacterium. RNAcentral describes it as "partial 16S ribosomal RNA". It matches the Rfam family "Bacterial small subunit ribosomal RNA", at positions 524 to 776 of the family's 1533-position model. The record is from RNAcentral.